CCCUAACCACCUGAACCAAAGUGGCUGCUUAACUAAGCUCUAUAUCGCGUUUCAGGGUUUGUGCUCUGUAAUCAAUGGCGUUUGUUUUAUUUUGAUAUGUUGUUUUUUUGACUGGAAUUUAUUAAAACUCUGUUGGAGACACCCUGUCCUGCACAUUUUACUGGAUUUUCUGCAAACUCUGUCCUGAAACACCGUCAAAACUCAAGCCAGCAUCAGCUUUUUCAGCUUCUGGAGCAUCUCUCUGGGAUCAUCACAUCAUGCAGAGCAGCCUGUACUACACACACAUGCAUCAACAAGCCUUGGGUGCCCGUCACUGCACCGCUGAUUCGCUGGAAGUUGGGUUGUUUGUCUUGGGACCACCACUACUGGGUCGUGGAGGGUCUGGAACCUGGACCUGGAAUCAUUUGGGUGCAAGGCAAAAGCUCGCUAUAUAUUCUGCAGUGGACUGCACGCAGAUUCAUGGCCGUUGGAGUACUAUUCUGCAGUGGACUGUAUAUUGGCACGGAGCACACACGUAUACAAAGGCCCGGUGGGGGAAAUGAGGUGGAAAAUGUCGCCUGUUCCUCAUCUGCCUCCUGUUCUGCUUGCCUUGCCUUGGUCUCCACUGUUCACGAGUCAGUUCAUGCCACUGCCCUCACCUCUCUAAAGACACUCUGGAGCCAUUACUGCGAGCCUCCAUUUCUCAACACACCAACAAGAUACAACAGAUGACAAACUGAAGCCCUCCAUCUGGAACCCAUAUCAGUUGAAGAGCUCUUACUGCUGUCCAUGGUGCUGAAAAAGACUGUGCUCGGGGAGGGCUGCUGUCCGCGGUGCUGAAUAGAUAGAGCUGACCAUGGUGCUGCACUCAGUGAACGUUGGUGGAUUCUGUCCAUGGUGCUGAAACAUUUCCAGGGUAAGAGUCUAUGUAUAGAUGAAUAGAUGGAAUCAAUGGAGGGAUAUCACAAAUAAAUAUGUAGA
RNAcentral lists this long non-coding RNA (960 nucleotides) under Astyanax mexicanus (Mexican tetra). Its description in RNAcentral is "lncRNA (ENSAMXG00005016844.1)". Lineage: Eukaryota; Metazoa; Chordata; Actinopteri; Characiformes; Acestrorhamphidae. The record is from RNAcentral.